AAGAUUAUACUUUCAAGGAUCAUUUCUAUAGUUUGUUACUAGAGAAGUUUCUCUGACUGUGUAGAGCACCCGGAGACAUGAGGAUGAGACAUAGUGUUCCCUCCUGAGUGUGAAGCCAGCUCUAGCUGUUGCUUCAGUGCAGCAGCCUCCAUCCAUUGAUGAUCAUUCUUCUCUCUUUCGGGAGGUUGAGAGAGAGGGAACGCAGUCUGAGAGGA
Arvicanthis niloticus (Nile rat) is the source of this 215-nucleotide non-coding RNA. NCBI's taxonomy places the organism in Eukaryota, Metazoa, Chordata, Mammalia, Rodentia, Muridae. The record is from RefSeq and is a predicted model, not a curated record.